GACGAACGCUGGCGGCGUGCUUAACACAUGCAAGUCGAACGGAAAGGCCCUGCUUUUGUGGGGUGCUCGAGUGGCGAACGGGUGAGUAACACGUGAGUAACCUGCCCUUGACCUUGGGAUAACUUCAGGAAACUGGGGCUAAUACCGGAUAGGAGCUCCUGCUGCAUGGUGGGGGUUGGAAAGUUUCGGCGGUUGGGGAUGGACCCGCGGCUUAUCAGCUUGUUGGUGGGGUAGUGGCUUACCAAGGCCUUGACGGGUAGCCGGCCUGAGAGGGUGACCGGCCACAUUGGGACUGAGAUACGGCCCAGACUCCUACGGGAGGCAGCAGUGGGGAAUAUUGCACAAUGGGCGGAAGCCUGAUGCAGCAACGCCGCGUGCGGGAUGACGGCCUUCGGGUUGUAAACCGCUUUCGCCUGUGACGAAGCGUGAGUGACGGUAAUGGGUAAAGAAGCACCGGCUAACUACGUG
This 468-nucleotide ribosomal RNA is filed under the name uncultured bacterium. RNAcentral's name for it is "partial 16S ribosomal RNA". It matches the Rfam family "Bacterial small subunit ribosomal RNA", at positions 28 to 507 of the family's 1533-position model. The record is from RNAcentral.